CAGGUGAGGUAUUUAUUCUGAUCAGGUGAGGUAUUUAUUCUGAUCAGGUGAGGUAUUUAUACUGAUCAGGUGAGGUAUUUAAUCUGUGAUCAGGUGAGGUAUUUAAUCUGUGAUCAGGUGAGGUAUUUAUUCUGUGAUCAGGUGAGGUAUUUAAUCUGAUCAGGUGAGGUAUUUAUUCUGAUCAGGUGAGGCCAUUUUGUUGUCAUAGAAAGCAACAGCAGAUGGCGCUAACUGACUGACCGAGGCUGACAGUUAUCUAAAAAAUUAAAGUCUAUUUAGCUAACGUUACAUAAAGGAGUUCACUAUUUUGCUAUCCCGACUGUCAGAAAAAACGAAGGGAAAGCUACCAAGGAGUCACUGUAGGAGAGAGCUAUGGCUGCUCAGAAUUAACAGACUGACCUUCCAGCCCACUCCUCACAGCAAAGUCUGUUCUGACCAUUUCGCGACAGAUAAACAGGAACGUAAAUUACCUUAAGGUUUCAAAUGUUUGUUAGGUUGU
Long non-coding RNA from Clupea harengus (Atlantic herring), 499 nucleotides. Lineage: Eukaryota; Metazoa; Chordata; Actinopteri; Clupeiformes; Clupeidae. The record is from Ensembl.